Molecule: ribosomal RNA, 255 nt
Filed under: uncultured bacterium
Lineage: Bacteria
Description: partial 16S ribosomal RNA
Rfam family: Bacterial small subunit ribosomal RNA
Source: RNAcentral
GACAGAGGGUGCAAACGUUGUUCGGAAUUACUGGGCGUAAAGCGCGUGUAGGCGGCCCAGCAAGUCGGAUGUGAAAGCCCUGGGCUUAACCUAGGAAGUGCAUUCGAAACUGCUGGGCUUGAGUUCUGGAGAGGAAGGCGGAAUUCUCGGUGUAGAGGUGAAAUUCGUAGAUAUCGAGAGGAACACCGGUGGCGAAGGCGGCCUUCUGGGACAGUGACUGACGCUGAGACGCGAAAGCGUGGGGAGCAAACAGGG